GUCUCUGCAAGGAUAGCUCUGUACUGCUCGCAUUCUGCUUGUAAAGUGCUCUGUGCUUCCUCUGCCUCUUUCAGUUUAAGUGCUGAAUCCACAGGCUCUGUCAUAACUGUGUGUUGCUUUAGCACGUUCACAGCCUUCUCCUUAAACUCCUGUAGCCAUGCCUCAUAAUCCUGCUGUGACACAGUGACUUCUGGGAGUGCAGAGAGCAGAGUCUCUUUGGUUCGUGUCUGGAGCACAUCAAGCUGGUGGGCCAACUCCUCCUUUGCUUUUGUAGCAGCAAGUAGCUUUUCCUCGCAUGCCUUCUCCACUGUGGUCAAUGCUUCCACUGCUUUCCAGUUCUUCUCACGAAGGUCGUUGUUUUUUGUCUUCUGUUGCUCCAUCGCCUCUCGCAGCUCUGCUGCUUCCCUUUCCAAGGACAAGAGCUGGUCCGUUUUCUCCUGGAGCCUUAGCUGCAGCUGCUUCAUUUCUGCUUCAUUGGCUGCCUGCAGGUCUCUGUCUUCUUCUGCCUCCCUCAUCCGGCCUGCUUCCAGCAGAGCUUCGAUGGAUUUGAUUCUCUCCAGAAGCCUUGUGUUCUCUGAGCUGGCUUCCUGCAGUUUCCCCUUCAAGCUGUCCAGCUCCAGCAAUUUGCUUUUGACCUCUGUUUCAGAGCUCAGCAGCUUG
Molecule: long non-coding RNA, 660 nt
Filed under: Gallus gallus (chicken)
Lineage: Eukaryota; Metazoa; Chordata; Aves; Galliformes; Phasianidae
Source: RNAcentral